This 438-nucleotide ribosomal RNA is filed under the name Bacillus sp. 1b-6 (1). RNAcentral's name for it is "bacterial SSU rRNA". It matches the Rfam family "Bacterial small subunit ribosomal RNA", at positions 102 to 526 of the family's 1533-position model. Lineage: Bacteria; Bacillati; Bacillota; Bacilli; Caryophanales; Bacillaceae. The record is from RNAcentral.
ACGGGUGAGUAACACGUGGGCAACCUGCCUGUAAGACUGGGAUAACUUCGGGAAACCGAAGCUAAUACCGGAUAGGAUCUUCUCCUUCAUGGGAGAUGAUUGAAAGAUGGUUUCGGCUAUCACUUACAGAUGGGCCCGCGGUGCAUUAGCUAGUUGGUGAGGUAACGGCUCACCAAGGCAACGAUGCAUAGCCGACCUGAGAGGGUGAUCGGCCACACUGGGACUGAGACACGGCCCAGACUCCUACGGGAGGCAGCAGUAGGGAAUCUUCCGCAAUGGACGAAAGUCUGACGGAGCAACGCCGCGUGAGUGAUGAAGGCUUUCGGGUCGUAAAACUCUGUUGUUAGGGAAGAACAAGUACAAGAGUAACUGCUUGUACCUUGACGGUACCUAACCAGAAAGCCACGGCUAACUACGUGCCAGCAGCCGCGGUAAUAC